Molecule: long non-coding RNA, 4159 nt
Organism: Schistocerca gregaria
Lineage: Eukaryota; Metazoa; Arthropoda; Insecta; Orthoptera; Acrididae
Exons: 2
Source: RefSeq, a predicted model, not a curated record
AAUAUGCCAGUGUGAAAACGGUGAUCGGUUUUGAACAUAUUUAAUGUUAAUUAAGUCGUAGCUAAUCUGUGCACAAGAGAAUACUCAUUUACUUUGACCCUUUUAGGACAUACUGAAACAUCGAUGUGUGAUUGUUUUAAUUUCUGAAGAAGUACUGUUGGGUUUGUCAGCUAAGUAUGAUACACGAGUAUGUGGUGCUUUAAAGUUUUUCUUGUCAUCAUGACGAUUGGUUGGUCCAAACAUUGUGCUUACAUAUACAUUUUCUGUGAAUUACAAUUCAUUUUGAGUAAAGAUGUCCAUAUAUUAGAUUUCAAUUACAUUCCUGUAGUGCCGAAAACAUGCAGCUGUGACUCCUAGUUCCUGUGCUCAAAUUCCUUUGUUUGGUGCCGUCUUUUUGCCCUUUUCUCACAUAAUAUGCUGUGAACAGUAGAUGAAGUGCAUCAGGCAAAUUCCAUAUUUCUAGAUUUUUGGAAAGCAUUUGAGAUGGUGCCCCAUUCCAGGUUAUUAACAUAGGUACAUUUACAGAUACACAGACGGCUCAGAGAUUUCUUAAGUAAUAGAACCCAGUAUGUUGUCCUCAACAGUGAGCGUUCAUCAGAGACAUCAGGAGUUCGCCAGGAAAUUGUGAUAGGACCACUGUUGUUCGCUAUAUACAUAAAUGAUUGGUGCACAGGGUGGGCAGCAGCCUGCGAUUGUUUGCUGAUGAUGCUGUAGUGCACGGUAAGGUGUUGUAAUUGAGUGACUAUAGGAGCAUACAAGACGAUUUAGACAAAAUUUCCAGUUGGUAUGAUGAAUGACAGUCAGCUCUAAAUGUGGAAAAAUAUAAGUUAAUGCAGAAGGUGGCAGGAGUAAAAUAUAGACAGCAAAAGGCUAUUUACAAUUUGUACAGAAAGUAGAUGGCAGUAAUAAGAGUCGAGGGGUAUGAAAGGGAAGCAGUGGUUGGGAAGGGAGUGAGACACGGUUGUAGCCUAUCCCCGAUGUUAUUCAAUCUGCAUAUUGAUCUAGCAGUAAAGGAAACAAAAGAAAAGUUCGGAGUAGGUAUUAAAAUCCACGGAGAAGAAAUAAAAACUUUGAUGUUCGCCGAUGACAUUGUAAUUCUGUCAGAGACAGCAAAGGACUUGCAAGAGCAGUUGAACGGAAUGGACAGUGUCUUGAAAGGAGGAUAUAAGAUGAACGUCAACAAAAGCAAGACAAGGAUAAUGGAAUGUAGUCGAAUUAAGUCAGGUGAUGCUGAGGGAAUUAGAUUAGGAAACGAGACGCUUAAAGUAGUAAAGGAGUUUUGCUAUUUGGGGAGCAAAAUAACUGAUGAUGGUCGAAGUAGAGAGGAUAUAAAAUGUAGACUGGCAAUGGCAAGGAAAGCGUUUCUGAAGAAGAAAAAUUUGUUAACAUCAAGUGUAGAUCUAAGUGUCAGGAAGUCGUUUCUGAAAGUAUUUGUAGCCAUGUAUGGAAGUGAAACGUGGACAAUAAAUAGCUUAGACAAGAAGAUAAUAGAAGCUUUCGAAAUGUGGUGCUACAGAAGAAUGCUGGAGAUUAGAUGGGUAGAUCACAUAACUAAUGAGGAGGUAUUGAAUAGAAUUGGGGAGAAGUGGAGUUUGUGGCACAACUUGACAAAAGAAGGGACCGGUUGGUAGGACAUGUUUUGAGGCAUCAAGGCAUCACAAAUUUAGUAUUGGAGCUCAGCGUGGAGGGUAAAAAUCGUAGAGGGAGACAAAGAGAUGAAUACACUAAGCAGAUUCAGAAGGAUGUAGGCUGCAGUAGAUACUGGGAGAUGAAGAAGCUUGCACAGGAUAGAGUAGCAUGGAGAGCUGCGUCAAAUCAGUCUCUGGACUGAAGACCACAACAACAACAACAACAAUGCAGAUGAGUAGAAAAAUGAAACCUAUAAUGCUGGGAUACGGUAUUACCAGUGUCCCACUUGACACAGUCAAGUUGUUUAAGUAUAUGGGCAUAAUGUUGCAAGGCAGUCUGAAAUGGAAUGAGCAUGUGAGAACUGUGAUAGGGAAGGCUAAUUGUCAACUUCGGUUUAAUGAGAGAAUUUUAGAAAAGAGUAGUUCACCUGUAAAGGGAACUGCAUAUGGGACAAUGGUGCGACAUGUUUGAGAGUACUGCUCAAGUGUUUGGGAUACGUUCCAGGUCGGAUUGAAGGAAGACAUUGAAGUAAGUCAGAGGUGGGCUGCUAGAUUUGUUAUCUGUAGGUUUGAACAACAUGUAAGUACCACGGAGAUGCUUCGAGAACUCAGAUGGGAAUCCUUGGGGGGAAGGCAAUGUUCUUUUUGAGAACCGGCAUUUGGAGUUGACUGCUGAAUGAUUCUACUCCCGCAACAUACAUAGCGUGGUAGGACCACGAAGGCAAGAUACAUGAAAUGAGAUCCAAUACGGAGGCAUAUAGACAGUCGUUUUUCACUAACACUAUUUGUGAGUGUAACAGGAAAGAAAAUGACUAGUAGCGUUGCAAGGUACCCUCCACCACACACCAUACAGUGGCUUAUGAAGUAUCUGUGUAAAUAUACACCUUUGGUCAAAUUCUUUUUCUGCACCCUGUGUUCAUAGUAAAUCCCACUAUUGUUGUGGUUUUGUCUGUUAAGUCAUUAUCAGGGGUUUAAGUGCAGCCAAUAGAAAAUACUAAAGCCACACAUUUCACAGAAAACAGUUACGUCUAUUACCCAGUGCCUUCAAGAAGAAGAUGGGACUGAGAAGUGGCCAAACUUAUCACAUACUGGAAAACAGCAACUGUCAAAGUGGGUACAAAAAAUAGCUUUGAUGUGACCUUGUAUGGCUCUUCUGGGUAUUUGUUAUACACACUGCCUGUAUAAAAAAUCAAAAUGUAACAUCUUAUUAUGAGAACAUUUCAUAAAAUUGACAUGCUUUGCCAGGUUUAGGACUAUAUGUAACAACUGCAAUUGAUUCUCAAGAAAUUGGCUUUGUGGUGUGUACACAUUCCAGCACAGUGCACCAUUCGGUCAAAAACAGGUUACAAAAUGUCCGUAACACAUGAAGAAUGCAUUGAAAUCAUCUUGAUAUCAGGAGAAAGAAGCACAUGGGUCAUUGCUGAGGAUUUCAACAGUCGUCACCCAACCAGACAGCCCAUCACUCACAGCACAGUUGCCAAGCUUUUGGCCAAAUGCCAAGCAACAUGUUCUGUCGCAGAUAAACCUAAGGCUGGAAGACCAAAAUCCACCACCAAUGAAGCAACAACAAUGAGCGUGUUGGCAUCAUUUAGCAAGAGUCCGCAACGGAGUUCUCGUCGCCUGUCACAAGAUUUGGGGUUAGCCGUACCUCCAUACAGCGAAUUUUAUCCCAGCAUAAAUGGCACCUGUACAGAAUUCAGCUGCUCCAACACCUGAACGAGGAUGACACAGACCGUCGGGUACAGUUCGCAGAAUGGGUGCCACAGCAGCUGCAGAUAAACCCACAUUUCCCCUAUAAGGUGCUGUUGAGUGAUGAAGCCAAUUUCUUGAUCAAUGGUGAAGUGAACAAGCUGAAUCACAGAUACUGGUCCGACACAAAUCUGCACUUUAUUGAUGCUUCCAAAAUGAUUGACUCACAAAAAGUGAUGGUCUGGUGUGGUGUGUGGGGUACCAAAGUCGUUGGACCUUUUUUUAUUGAUGAUAUGUUAACAGCCAACGGUUAUCUGAGUUUACUGGAUGAAGAAGUGUUUACCUCAUUAACGGAGAACGGGACAUUUCCGGAAUUCUUCAAGCAUGAUGGAGCCCCACCACAUUAUGGGCACAAUGAGUGAGCAUACCUCGAUGUGCAGUUCCCUCAAAAGUGGAUUGGUCAUAGGGGUGCUGUGGAGUGGCCACCACGUUCUCCAGAUUUGACUCCUUUGGAUUUUUGGGGUCAUGUCAAAGCACUGGUUUAUUUUGUGAAAAUACAGGAUUUGCAUCUCUAAAGCAGUGCAUUGUUGAUGCAUGUGGUCAAAUUCAGCCAAAUGUGUUGGUCAUAGUUCAUCAGGACUGAGUUCGGAGGAUAGCAUUAACAAUCCAACAUAAUGGAAAACAUAUCGAGCCAUUCCUAUGACUGUUGGUGGUCUCUUGGGACUGUGUAACAUCGGCGUAAUGUCUCUUCAGCACAUAACACAUGCUGCCAAGUGUUCCACCGCUGCCAUAUGUAACUGCCUAUAACCCGAGAAUGAAUAAAGCUAUGUUUAAAAUAACAA